RNAcentral lists this ribosomal RNA (364 nucleotides) under Vibrio sp. 03_296. RNAcentral describes it as "bacterial LSU rRNA". It matches the Rfam family "Bacterial large subunit ribosomal RNA", at positions 705 to 1066 of the family's 2925-position model. The record is from RNAcentral. Lineage: Bacteria; Pseudomonadati; Pseudomonadota; Gammaproteobacteria; Vibrionales; Vibrionaceae.
GGAUAUAGACCGGAACCGAGUGAUCUAGCCAUGGCGGUGAAGGUUGAGUAACAUCAACAAUGGAGGACCGAACCGACUAAUGUUGAAAAGUUAGGCGGAAUGACUUGAUGGCUAGGGGUGAAAGGCCAAUCCAAACUCGGAGAUAGCUGGUUCUCCCCGAAAGCUAUUUAGGUAGCGCCUCGGACGAAUACGUACUGGGGGUAGAGCACUGUUAAGCUAGGGGGUCAUCCCGACUUACCAACCCUUUGCAAACUCCGAAUACCAGUAAGUACUAUCCGGGAGACACACGGCGGGUGCUAACGUCCGUCGUGGAGAGGGAAACAACCCAGACCGCCAGCUAAGGUCCCAAAUUACAGCUAAGUGG